CACGUAGGCACCAAGCGUUGUCCGGAAUUAUUGGGCGUAAAGAGCUCGUAGGCGGUCUGUUGCGUCGGCUGUGAAAACCCGGGGCUCAACCCCGGGCCUGCAGCCGAUACGGGCAGACUAGAGUUCGGCAGGGGAGACUGGAAUUCCUGGUGUAGCGGUGAAAUGCGCAGAUAUCAGGAGGAACACCGGUGGCGAAGGCGGGUCUCUGGGCCGAUACUGACGCUGAGGAGCGAAAGCGUGGGGAGCGAACGGG
This 253-nucleotide ribosomal RNA is filed under the name uncultured bacterium. RNAcentral describes it as "partial 16S ribosomal RNA". It matches the Rfam family "Bacterial small subunit ribosomal RNA", at positions 524 to 776 of the family's 1533-position model. The record is from RNAcentral.